This 467-nucleotide ribosomal RNA is filed under the name uncultured bacterium. RNAcentral's name for it is "partial 16S ribosomal RNA". It matches the Rfam family "Bacterial small subunit ribosomal RNA", at positions 28 to 507 of the family's 1533-position model. The record is from RNAcentral.
GACGAACGCUGGCGGCGUGCUUAACACAUGCAAGUCGAACGGAAAGGCCUCAGCUUGCUGGGGUACUCGAGUGGCGAACGGGUGAGUAACACGUGGGUGAUCUGCCUUGCACUCUGGGAUAAGCUUUGGAAACUGGGUCUAAUACCGGAUAUGAACUGCCUUUAGUGUGGUGGUUGGAAAGUUUUUUCGGUGCAAGAUGAGCUCGCGGCCUAUCAGCUUGUUGGUGGGGUAAUGGCCUACCAAGGCGUCGACGGGUAGCCGGCCUGAGAGGGUGUACGGCCACAUUGGGACUGAGAUACGGCCCAGACUCCUACGGGAGGCAGCAGUGGGGAAUAUUGCACAAUGGGCGGAAGCCGGAUGCAGCGACGCCGCGUGGGGGAGGACGGCCUUCGGGUUGUAAACUCCUUUCGACAGGGACGAAGCUUUUUGUGACGGUACCUGUAUAAGAAGCACCGGCUAACUACGUG